This 459-nucleotide ribosomal RNA is filed under the name uncultured bacterium. RNAcentral describes it as "partial 16S ribosomal RNA". It matches the Rfam family "Bacterial small subunit ribosomal RNA", at positions 338 to 795 of the family's 1533-position model. The record is from RNAcentral.
CCUACGGGAGGCAGCAGUGAGGAAUAUUGGUCAAUGGUCGGGAGCCUGAACCAGCCAAGCCGCGUGAGGGAUGAAGGUACAGAGUAUCGUAAACCUCUUUUGUAAGGGAACAAAGGCGGGGACGUGUCCCCGGAUGAGUGUACCUGAAGAACAAGCAUCGGCUCACUCCGUGCCAGCAGCCGCGGUAAUACGGAGGAUGCGAGCGUUAUCCGGAUUUAUUGGGUUUAAGGGGUGCGCAGGCGGUGUGUUAAGUCAGAGGUCAAAGCCCGGGGCCCAACCCCGGCCCGACGUUGAAACUGGCAGUCUCGAGUGGGAGAGAAGUAAGCGGAAUGCGCGGUGUAGCGGUGAAAUGCAUAGAUAUCGCGAGGAACUCCGAUUGCGAAGGCAGCAUGCCGGCUCCACACUGACGCUGAGGCACGAAAGCGUGGGUAGCGAACAGGAGUAGAUACCCCAGUAGUC